AUUGAACGCUGGCGGCAUGCCUUACACAUGCAAGUCGAACGGCAGCACGGGUGCUUGCACCUGGUGGCGAGUGGCGAACGGGUGAGUAAUACGUCGGAACAUGUCCUGUAGUGGGGGAUAGCCCGGCGAAAGCCGGAUUAAUACCGCAUACGAUCUACGGAUGAAAGCGGGGGACCUUCGGGCCUCGCGCUAUAGGGUUGGCCGAUGGCUGAUUAGCUAGUUGGUGGGGUAAAGGCCUACCAAGGCGACGAUCAGUAGCUGGUCUGAGAGGACGACCAGCCACACUGGGACUGAGACACGGCCCAGACUCCUACGGGAGGCAGCAGUGGGGAAUUUUGGACAAUGGGCGAAAGCCUGAUCCAGCAAUGCCGCGUGUGUGAAGAAGGCCUUCGGGUUGUAAAGCACUUUUGUCCGGAAAGAAAUCCUUGGCCCUAAUACGGUCGGGGGAUGACGGUACCGGAAGAAUAAGCACCGGCUAACUACGUG
This 486-nucleotide ribosomal RNA is filed under the name uncultured bacterium. Its description in RNAcentral is "partial 16S ribosomal RNA". It matches the Rfam family "Bacterial small subunit ribosomal RNA", at positions 30 to 507 of the family's 1533-position model. The record is from RNAcentral.